Molecule: small nuclear RNA, 98 nt
Filed under: Suricata suricatta (meerkat)
Lineage: Eukaryota; Metazoa; Chordata; Mammalia; Carnivora; Herpestidae
Source: RNAcentral
AUGCUCACUUUGGCAGCACAUACACUAAAUGUGGAAAGAGAUUAGCAUGGCCUCUGCACAAGGAUAACAUGUAAGUUUAUGACACAUUCCAUAUUUUU